GAUGAAGAACGUAGCGAACUGCGAUAAGUAAUGUGAAUUGCAGAAUUCAGUGAAUCAUCGAGUCUUUGAACGCACAUUGCGCCCCCUGGCAUUCCGGGGGGCAUGCCUGUCCGAGCGUCAUUGCUGCCCUUCAAGCCCGGCUUGUGUGUUGGGUCGUCGUCCCCCCCGGGGGACGGGCCCGAAAGGCAGCGGCGGCACCGCGUCCGGUCCUCGAGCGUAUGGGGCUUUGUCACCCGCUCGAUUAGGGCCGGCCGGGCGCCAGCCGGCGUCUCCAACCUUCUAUUUUACCAGGUUGACCUCGGAUCAGGUGGGGAUACCCGCUGAACUUAAGCAUAUCAAUAAGCGGAGGA
This 350-nucleotide unclassified non-coding RNA is filed under the name soil metagenome. RNAcentral's name for it is "partial contains 5.8S ribosomal RNA, internal transcribed spacer 2, and large subunit ribosomal RNA". The stretch from base 1 to 120 matches the Rfam family "5.8S ribosomal RNA", at positions 35 to 154 of the family's 154-position model. The record is from RNAcentral.